RNAcentral lists this ribosomal RNA (512 nucleotides) under uncultured bacterium. RNAcentral's name for it is "partial 16S ribosomal RNA". It matches the Rfam family "Bacterial small subunit ribosomal RNA", at positions 28 to 523 of the family's 1533-position model. The record is from RNAcentral.
GACGAACGCUGGCGGCGUGCCUAAUACAUGCAAGUCGAGCGGAACGGGGGGAGCUUGCUCCUCCCAGUUUAGCGGCGGACGGGUGAGUAACACGUGGGCAACCUGCCCUGCAGAUCGGGAUAACUCCGGGAAACCGGUGCUAAUACCGAAUAGUUUGGCGCCUCUCCUGAGGCGCUACGGAAAGACGGUUUCGGCUGUCACUGCAGGAUGGGCCCGCGGCGCAUUAGCUAGUUGGUGGGGUAACGGCCCACCAAGGCGACGAUGCGUAGCCGACCUGAGAGGGUGACCGGCCACACUGGGACUGAGACACGGCCCAGACUCCUACGGGAGGCAGCAGUAGGGAAUCUUCCGCAAUGGACGCAAGUCUGACGGAGCAACGCCGCGUGAGUGACGAAGGUUUUCGGAUCGUAAAACUCUGUUGUGAGGGAAGAACACGUACCAACUAACUAUUGGUACCUCGACGGUACCUCACCAGAAAGCCACGGCUAACUACGUGCCAGCCGCCGCGGUAA